This 449-nucleotide ribosomal RNA is filed under the name uncultured bacterium. RNAcentral's name for it is "partial 16S ribosomal RNA". It matches the Rfam family "Bacterial small subunit ribosomal RNA", at positions 29 to 523 of the family's 1533-position model. The record is from RNAcentral.
AACGAACGCUGGCGGCAUGCCUAACACAUGCAAGUCGAACGAGAUCUUCGGGUCUAGUGGCGCACGGGUGCGUAACGCGUGGGAAUCUGCCCUUUGGUUCGGAAUAACAGCUGGGAACGACUGCUAAUACCUGACGAUGACAAAAGUCCAAAGAUUUAUCGCCAGAGGAUGAGCCCGCGUAGGAUUAGCUAGUUGGUGUGGUAAAGGCGCACCAAGGCGAUGAUCCUUAGCUGGGCUGUGAGGAUGACCAGCCACACUGGGACUAGGACACGGCCCACACUCCUACGGGAGGCAGCAGUGGGGAAUAUUGGACAAUAGGCGAAAGCCUGAUCCAGCAAUGCCGCGUGAGUGAUGAAGGCCUUAGGGUUGUAAAGCUCUUUUACCCGGGAUGAUAAUGACAGUACCGGGAGAAUAAGCUCCGGCUAACUCCGUUCCAGCCGCCGCAGUAA